UUUUUUUUUUUUUUUUCUUUUUUGCCACACAGGCAGUAUGUAGGAAUUCCUAGGCCAGGGAUUGAACCUACACCACACAGCCCCAACCAGAGUCACAGCAGUAAGAACACAGGAGCCUCAACCUGCUAGGCCAUCUAAGAACUCCCUAAAACAUUUUUUUAUGUUCACAUGAAACUUUAUAUGUUCUUUUAACUUAUACCUGCCAGUCCUAAUUCUGCCCUGUUAAUUUCUACAUAUGUUUCCUUAUUUCCUAUUUCUAAGGGCUUUAUAUGUAGGUACAGUCUUCACCCCAAACCCCAGACAUCCAAGUUAAUACUAGGAAAUAUUAUGGGAGUAGAUUUAGACAAGUCUUUGUAUUGCUAAGAACUUAAGGUUUCUGUGCCCUGUCAGACGUGAUGUCACCAGCUGUUCUCAAAGCAGCAUCAGCGGGCAGCUGUAACCUUACAUUUUCAUGGUCUCCUCUUAUAAAAACAGAAAGGAGGCAACAUGUAUAAGGACCAAUAGCUCCUGUUAAUUACGUGUUAACACCACAUCAAACAUUAAAACCAACUUAGAUAAAACUACACUCCACCUUCAACACUACCGGUAUCAACCUAUAUCCCAAGCCUCUGUUUAAUCUUAUUUUUCUUUUCUCCCCAUCCUCUAUGGUAGGAACCUACCAUGUCCAGCCACCCAGGAUUCGUCGCCCCUAGCCAGCAGGAAGUAGCUACAAAAGAGUGGACCGUUGCCCCUAUCCCAUAUAAGAAAAGGCUGGAAUGACAGGUUCCCAGGAAGAUGGAGACAGACCCCAAACCCCCAAAUGUGGCUGUUCAUCUUGGGGACCCGCUUGCAGCCUAGCACAAGAUCUACUCACUUUCCCAGAAUGUGGAGUCUCAGGUUGGGCAGCAAGAAACAAUGGCCUAUGGAAAAUUACUGCCUGCAUAGAUUAACCUCCUACAAGGAUUAACUGCCCUCUGUCAUGGGACUCAACACCCCUACUCCUCCCUUAACCUUCUCCUCCUUCUUCUUUAUCAUUCCUGCCACAAGUUCCAGCCAUAAACUCCAUCCAGACACAGAUUCCCGCCACAGAUCUUUAUAAACCUGGCACCUCCUCACGGUCAGAGCUGGUGCCACCUUAAGCUCAGCUCAUGCCCCUCUGAUGCCUUAAUAAAUUCUUUUGCUUUACUAACUUGGCCUGCGUGUUCCUCCCUUGGCAAACCUAACAUUAUCAUCUCUGCUUUUAAAAGAUUUAAAAAACUGAGACAUAGAUGUUCCUUAACUUACUCAGCAUCAUACAACUCCAUAAUUUAACCUUACCUCCCACCCAAAUAAGUGUUAAUGAUUUAAUCUGGGCAAAGGAUACUCUAAGAUUUCUGAGGUUUCCUGAAUGAAAUUCACAUUUUAGUUUGAUUUUGUCCCCCCUGUUUUCAGGAUUCAACAAACACUCAGCAGUUUAAUUUCCUGUCUUGUCUUCCACUCACACACCUGUUCCCUAAUUUUACUCAUAAUUAUACAUCCCUUCAAAAGAGCUCGCUUUUAUGAAUCUCAGUCUCUUUGGGGAUGAAAUAGGAUUCCCAGUUCCAAGAAGACUUUUUCAUUUUUACUGAACUAUCAACUAUCUGCACAGCCAUUCUCUGGCCAUAGACAGGGAGCACUGGAGAAAGAAUGUGUAAUGAGUAGGAGAGGAGGGAGAGUCCCUGGGUUGAUCACAAAGGGGAGGAGGUUCCUAAAUGCAGAAACAAUCAUAAAACACACCCAGGGUUUGUGGCCUUUGAACAAUGGCAGCCCCACCUGCCUCCUUCCCUACCUGCUGGCCUCUGACUUCCUCCCCAGCAUGCCCCUCCUGGCCUUGACGUCUUAGACCCAUACUAGGGGCCUGGAACCGGGGGCCAAACCAGAGCACCCAACACCGAACUGUGUGGGUGGAGGGAGCAGCAAGGGAGAAAGCACUCAAUUUACAAGGGGCCUGACUCACUGUGUACACAACACCUGGGCACAGAAUGGAUUAGGGACAGGUUGCUAAGCAGAACUCAUGGUUUAGGGAGUUUUACAAAGGACACUUCCUCAAUGUCCUACUGAGAGCAGAGGGGUGGGUGUGGGAGGCAUGAUGGCUUCCUCCCAAUGUUUUUAACCCAUUCUCUACCUGCCCCCACCCUGCUAGUUACAUUCCUCUAUCCAUAGGUCACUUAUUUGCUGAGUUGGUUUCCAGAACAAAAAACAAAAAAAAAAAAUCUCAGUUGAAUUCCUUAAAGAUCCAAGCACUCAGUUCAGAACAAGUGUGUCUGUCAUCUUAGUGAUGACCAGUCAGAUAUCUUUUCAGGCUCUGGAGGAAAUUUUGACAAGAGCUUUGUACCACCCAGUAUCCCUUUGAGGAAAACUGAGCUACAAACAAGAGGAGGAAGGAACCUCCCGUGUGCUGGGACAUUUAUGUUUGCACCUCUAAUGCCCACGAGGACCCUGUGAAGUAGGUACUAUUAUCCCUAUUUGGCAAGCAAGAAACCAAAACGUCAAGAUCAGUUAACUUGGCCCUUAUCCAAGAACUGUAGAAACAGAACCAGGACUCAGAUUCUGAAUCUAAAGCUCAUGUUUUCACUCCUCACCAUCCUACCCACCAGCAUCCAAGGACAGGAAAGUGGAGUUCCCGUCAUGGCACAGUGGUUAACGAAUCCGACUAGGAACCAUGAGGUGGCGGAUUCGAUCCCCGCCCUUGCUCAGUGGGUUAAGGAUCCGGCGUUGCCGUGAGCUGUGGUGUAGGUUGCAGACGCAGCUCGGAUCCUGCGUUGCUGUGGCUCUGGCGUAGGACAGCAGCUACAGCUCUGAUUAGAAAUGGCAAAAAGACCAAAAAAAAAAAAAAAAAGAAUUGUG
This 2844-nucleotide long non-coding RNA is filed under the name Sus scrofa (pig). Its description in RNAcentral is "lncRNA (ENSSSCG00030020327.1)". The record is from RNAcentral. Lineage: Eukaryota; Metazoa; Chordata; Mammalia; Artiodactyla; Suidae.